This 460-nucleotide ribosomal RNA is filed under the name uncultured bacterium. RNAcentral's name for it is "partial 16S ribosomal RNA". It matches the Rfam family "Bacterial small subunit ribosomal RNA", at positions 338 to 795 of the family's 1533-position model. The record is from RNAcentral.
CCUACGGGGGGCUGCAGUGAGGAAUAUUGGUCAAUGGACGAGAGUCUGAACCAGCCAAGUAGCGUGAAGGAUGAAUGCCCUAUGGGUUGUAAACUUCUUUUAUAUGGGAAUAAAAUGUUCCACGUGUGGGAUUUUGUAUGUACCAUAUGAAUAAGGAUCGGCUAACUCCGUGCCAGCAGCCGCGGUAAUACGGAGGAUCCGAGCGUUAUCCGGAUUUAUUGGGUUUAAAGGGAGCGUAGGUGGAUUGUUAAGUCAGUUGUGAAAGUUUGCGGCUCAACCGUAAAAUUGCAGUUGAAACUGGCAGUCUUGAGUACAGGAGAGGUGGGCGGAAUUCGAGGUGUAGCGGUGAAAUGCUUAGAUAUCACGAAGAACUCCGAUUGCGAAGGCAGUUCACUGGACUGCAACUGACACUGAGGCUCGAAAGUGUGGGUAUCAAACAGGAUUAGAUACCCGUGUAGUC